This 2666-nucleotide ribosomal RNA is filed under the name Escherichia coli. Its description in RNAcentral is "partial 23S ribosomal RNA". It matches the Rfam family "Bacterial large subunit ribosomal RNA". The record is from RNAcentral. RNAcentral also lists the same sequence under 1 other name. Lineage: Bacteria; Pseudomonadati; Pseudomonadota; Gammaproteobacteria; Enterobacterales; Enterobacteriaceae.
CCAGUAGCGGCGAGCGAACGGGGAGCAGCCCAGAGCCUGAAUCAGUGUGUGUGUUAGUGGAAGCGUCUGGAAAGGCGUGCGAUACAGGGUGACAGCCCCGUACACAAAAAUGCACAUACUGUGAGCUCGAUGAGUAGGGCGGGACACGUGGUAUCCUGUCUGAAUAUGGGGGGACCAUCCUCCAAGGCUAAAUACUCCUGACUGACCGAUAGUGAACCAGUACCGUGAGGGAAAGGCGAAAAGAACCCCGGCGAGGGGAGUGAAAAAGAACCUGAAACCGUGUACGUACAAGCAGUGGGAGCACGCUUAGGCGUGUGACUGCGUACCUUUUGUAUAAUGGGUCAGCGACUUAUAUUCUGUAGCAAGGUUAACCGAAUAGGGGAGCCGAAGGGAAACCGAGUCUUAACUGGGCGUUAAGUUGCAGGGUAUAGACCCGAAACCCGGUGAUCUAGCCAUGGGCAGGUUGAAGGUUGGGUAACACUAACUGGAGGACCGAACCGACUAAUGUUGAAAAAUUAGCGGAUGACUUGUGGCUGGGGGUGAAAGGCCAAUCAAACCGGGAGAUAGCUGGUUCUCCCCGAAAGCUAUUUAGGUAGCGCCUCGUGAAUUCAUCUCCGGGGGUAGAGCACUGUUUCGGCAAGGGGGUCAUCCCGACUUACCAACCCGAUGCAAACUGCGAAUACCGGAGAAUGUUAUCACGGGAGACACACGGCGGGUGCUAACGUCCGUCGUGAAGAGGGAAACAACCCAGACCGCCAGCUAAGGUCCCAAAGUCAUGGUUAAGUGGGAAACGAUGUGGGAAGGCCCAGACAGCCAGGAUGUUGGCUUAGAAGCAGCCAUCAUUUAAAGAAAGCGUAAUAGCUCACUGGUCGAGUCGGCCUGCGCGGAAGAUGUAACGGGGCUAAACCAUGCACCGAAGCUGCGGCAGCGACGCUUAUGCGUUGUUGGGUAGGGGAGCGUUCUGUAAGCCUGUGAAGGUGUGCUGUGAGGUAUGCUGGAGGUAUCAGAAGUGCGAAUGCUGACAUAAGUAACGAUAAAGCGGGUGAAAAGCCCGCUCGCCGGAAGACCAAGGGUUCCUGUCCAACGUUAAUCGGGGCAGGGUGAGUCGACCCCUAAGGCGAGGCCGAAAGGCGUAGUCGAUGGGAAACAGGUUAAUAUUCCUGUACUUGGUGUUACUGCGAAGGGGGGACGGAGAAGGCUAUGUUGGCCGGGCGACGGUUGUCCCGGUUUAAGCGUGUAGGCUGGUUUUCCAGGCAAAUCCGGAAAAUCAAGGCCGAGGCGUGAUGACGAGGCACUACGGUGCUGAAGCAACAAAUGCCCUGCUUCCAGGAAAAGCCUCUAAGCAUCAGGUAACAUCAAAUCGUACCCCAAACCGACACAGGUGGUCAGGUAGAGAAUACCAAGGCGCUUGAGAGAACUCGGGUGAAGGAACUAGGCAAAAUGGUGCCGUAACUUCGGGAGAAGGCACGCUGAUACGUAGGUGAAGCGACUUGCUCGUGGAGCUGAAAUCAGUCGAAGAUACCAGCUGGCUGCAACUGUUUAUUAAAAACACAGCACUGUGCAAACACGAAAGUGGACGUAUACGGUGUGACGCCUGCCCGGUGCCGGAAGGUUAAUUGAUGGGGUUAGCGCAAGCGAAGCUCUUGAUCGAAGCCCCGGUAAACGGCGGCCGUAACUAUAACGGUCCUAAGGUAGCGAAAUUCCUUGUCGGGUAAGUUCCGACCUGCACGAAUGGCGUAAUGAUGGCCAGGCUGUCUCCACCCGAGACUCAGUGAAAUUGAACUCGCUGUGAAGAUGCAGUGUACCCGCGGCAAGACGGAAAGACCCCGUGAACCUUUACUAUAGCUUGACACUGAACAUUGAGCCUUGAUGUGUAGGAUAGGUGGGAGGCUUUGAAGUGUGGACGCCAGUCUGCAUGGAGCCGACCUUGAAAUACCACCCUUUAAUGUUUGAUGUUCUAACGUGGACCCGUGAUCCGGGUUGCGGACAGUGUCUGGUGGGUAGUUUGACUGGGGCGGUCUCCUCCUAAAGAGUAACGGAGGAGCACGAAGGUUGGCUAAUCCUGGUCGGACAUCAGGAGGUUAGUGCAAUGGCAUAAGCCAGCUUGACUGCGAGCGUGACGGCGCGAGCAGGUGCGAAAGCAGGUCAUAGUGAUCCGGUGGUUCUGAAUGGAAGGGCCAUCGCUCAACGGAUAAAAGGUACUCCGGGGAUAACAGGCUGAUACCGCCCAAGAGUUCAUAUCGACGGCGGUGUUUGGCACCUCGAUGUCGGCUCAUCACAUCCUGGGGCUGAAGUAGGUCCCAAGGGUAUGGCUGUUCGCCAUUUAAAGUGGUACGCGAGCUGGGUUUAGAACGUCGUGAGACAGUUCGGUCCCUAUCUGCCGUGGGCGCUGGAGAACUGAGGGGGGCUGCUCCUAGUACGAGAGGACCGGAGUGGACGCAUCACUGGUGUUCGGGUUGUCAUGCCAAUGGCACUGCCCGGUAGCUAAAUGCGGAAGAGAUAAGUGCUGAAAGCAUCUAAGCACGAAACUUGCCCCGAGAUGAGUUCUCCCUGACCCUUUAAGGGUCCUGAAGGAACGUUGAAGACGACGACGUUGAUAGGCCGGGUGUGUAAGCGCAGCGAUGCGUUGAGCUAACCGGUACUAAUGAACCGUGAGGCUUAACCUU